GUGUCAGCCGCCGCGGUAAUACGGAGGGUGCAAGCGUUGUCCGGAUUUAUUGGGUUUAAAGGGUGCGUAGGUGGAACUGUAAGUCUGAUUUGAAAGCAAGCGGCUUAACCGUUUGAUGUGGUUGGAAACUGUGGUUCUUGAAUGGGUUGGCGGUAGCCGGAAUGGGUCAUGUAGCGGUGAAAUGCAUAGAUAUGACCCGGAACACCGAUUGCGAAGGCAGGCUACUACGACUUGAUUGACACUGAGGCACGAGAGCAUGGGUAGCGAACAGGAUUAGAUACCCCCGUAGUCC
Molecule: ribosomal RNA, 292 nt
Filed under: uncultured bacterium
Lineage: Bacteria
Description: partial 16S ribosomal RNA
Rfam family: Bacterial small subunit ribosomal RNA
Source: RNAcentral